AAUCGAAUAUGCAUUAUGCACCACGUAUAUCUCUUCUCAGUUCUUACUCUUCCUUUGGUUGUACACAAAAUUCUUGAAAUUAAAGCAGAGAUAUAUCAAUGGAUAUUCGAUUAUCAUACAGAAACAUUUCUUCUCACGGUUUAUGGUCUUGUCCAACAACUCAAAAGGGUCUCAAACCUUGUUGUUCAGGAAAAAAUUCUCAGCAAAAUGGUGAUUCCAACAGCAAUUCAGGUGAUAAAUCUUCG
RNAcentral lists this unclassified non-coding RNA (245 nucleotides) under Hevea brasiliensis (rubber tree). The record is from RNAcentral. Lineage: Eukaryota; Viridiplantae; Streptophyta; Magnoliopsida; Malpighiales; Euphorbiaceae.